This 254-nucleotide ribosomal RNA is filed under the name uncultured bacterium. RNAcentral describes it as "partial 16S ribosomal RNA". It matches the Rfam family "Bacterial small subunit ribosomal RNA", at positions 524 to 776 of the family's 1533-position model. The record is from RNAcentral.
UACGUAGGGUGCAAGCGUUAUCCGGAAUUAUUGGGCGUAAAGAGCUCGUAGGCGGUGUGUCGCGUCGGCCGUGAAAACCUGCAGCUUAACUGUGGGCUUGCGGUCGAUACGGGCAUCACUGGAGUUCGGCAGGGGAGACUGGAAUUCCUGGUGUAGCGGUGAAAUGCGGAGAUAUCAGGAGGAACACCGGUGGCGAAGGCGGUUCUCUGGGCAUUACCUGACGCUGAGGAGCGAAAGUGUGGGGAGCGAACAGG